UCCCCGCGCGCACGGCACACGGCACCGCCUGAGCCAAUAGGACGCGGCGCCGCAGCAACAGGUGGCCUGCACAAGGCGGGCGCCGCUGCCGCCAUCUUGAGUGAGGGCAGGGGGCGCGCUUCUUUCUCCCAGCCGUGUGUGUGAGGGACUCUGCGUGUCUUGCGGCGUGGGGCAGCUGCGCGCACAGGGGUGGGUGGUCAGAGCAUUAGGGGUGGUAUGGAGCGUCGUGUUUGUGACCUAGCGUUAGAAUCACGGAAACAUUAAGGUUGGAAAAGACCACUAAGUUUAUCUAGUCUAACCGUCAGCCCUCCCCCCCCACGCCCACUGCCCACGUCCCUCAGUGCCACAUCCACACGGCUCCUGAACACCUCAGGGACGGUGACUGCACCACCUCCCUGGGCAGCCUGUGCCACUGCAGCACUGCUCUUUCCUAGAACAUAUUCUUCCUAACAUCCAAUCUGACUCUCAGGUGGCUGUGGAGAGCCAUGAUACCUCCCUUGAUCCUCCUCCAGACUGAACAAUCCCAGUUUCCCCAUCUGCUCCCCGUCAAACUUGUGCUCUAGACCCCUCACAGUUUAAUUGCCCUUCUUUGGACACACUCCAUAGCCUCAACGUCUUCAUUGUAAUGAGGGGCCCAAAACUGAACGCAGUACUUAAAUCCAUAGGCUGGGGGAAAUUGCAAGCACCCCAGGGCAAAGCUGACUUGAUGUAGAGGGCAGGGAAUAUUAGGCAACAGUCAGCCAAAAGUCACCACUGUGUGCCUCAUAGUUCUCUCACUUGCCUGAAGGACAAGCUGUCUGGCCCUUGGUGUGCUGCAAACUGUUCCCAGAACAGGCAGAAGAAAGGAAGCUGAGGGAGGAAAAAAGAAAGCUGUAGCAGUAUUUGGAGAGUUAAGCAGUGUCUGUGUCUCCUUACUUUGGACCUGCAGGAGGAAUUUUCUUAAAACUAUUCUCUUUUUUUCUGGUGCCAGAAAUCUCUUAAAAGACAACUGCACCUUUCCUUGCGUCAUAUUUCUACAGAGAAAAACAGUUUACCUCAUGCUGAACUGCUUUUUCUAACAUAGCUGACCUAGACAAAUGCUUUUCUUACAUAUACAUAUGUAUGUAUAUAUAAACCCUAUAUAUAGGCAAAGCAACAUCAGAAAAAAACUAAUAACUUUGAUAGCUGGAUAUUUUGUGCUGCCUACUGAUUUGCACUGUACAAGGUUUACAGCAGUGACAAUGGCCCUGCUACUUGAAAUAUCACAGUUAUCUAUCUUCUGUCUUUACUUAUCACCACUGGCCUUUUUUUCCCCCAACACAUCAAAGACUUUACACUGAUGAAUUACUAGUCUCAAUUAAUUUUAAUGACAUCUUGCAGAACACAAGGCAAAACAUGUUUGUUUGCUUUCUUUCAGACAUAUGACCUAAUCUUUGGGCAGUCCUGUGUGGAACCCAGAGCCAGACUUGAUCCGUACGGGUCCCUUCCAAAUGGAGUUGCUUCCUGACUUGAGUGGUGACACUUGCAAUUUUGGGGAUGAGCUGUCUGUAUUCUCUACACCAAGAAUUCUGCACCUCUACAGAAACCUCACCAGAGGAACCUGAAUGGAAAUCUGUUGUUACUCUUACUUAAAAACUUUCAGAGAAAAAGCAAAACAUGGCAGCAGUAAAUUUCUAUGAUUGCCAUCUACCAUCUUACUAUUAUAAAAGCCCUUGAAAAACAUUAAUCUGGCCUCUGCAAGUCUAAUGGCAUAAGCCAUCUCCACUUGGUCAUGGUAACCAGGUGUCAGAUUAAUGGAUGAAAAUAAGUUCUUAAUGCUAUUUGUAUCAUAACAUUACCCAAAGCUUAAAUGAGAUCAGUAUCAUAUUAUACCAAGCACUGUAAUACUUCAUGUCAAAGGAUCUGUCUGCCCAAGAACUGUAAAGUUCAGACAACUCAGAGAAAGAAAGCAUUACUGACAUUCUAGAAAUAUAGUGAACAACACCAAUAUGAAAUAAACACUCUCACCACUACCACUCCCUGCUUUAUUCAAUCAUGGAUUUCAGAAGGAAAAUUAAGCCGAAAUUUUCCUAAUGUAAAGGUUUCAGGUCAGAUUCCUCCUCUCUUUUUUUAAUGUAUGAAUGGAAUGGAAUGCAAGCUAUGCUUUUGCCUGAAAGAGUUGGUAAGCCAAGAGAAACGACAACAUUACCACAGUGCUCAGCCUUGAGAAUGGAAUGCAUAUUUAAUGUGGAUGAGAGUAAUUGACGAUAACGAUUUCUCUGAACUCAGAAAAAAAGCGUUCAUGGAAUAAAUCGUUAAAUGCGCACCCACUGCCGUUCAAAUGUUUUAAACAACGCACACUACCAUCUAGUGGCAGAAAGAAAGCAAGAAAGCUUCUCAAAAGGGGUACUUAACAUGUUACACGUAUCUUCACACAAUGCUCACUUCUUAACUGAAAAGCAGAUAUCUAACAAAAAAAUAAAAAUAAAAAUACAA
Molecule: long non-coding RNA, 2454 nt
Organism: Tympanuchus pallidicinctus (lesser prairie-chicken)
Lineage: Eukaryota; Metazoa; Chordata; Aves; Galliformes; Phasianidae
Exons: 2
Source: RefSeq, a predicted model, not a curated record